Long non-coding RNA from Monomorium pharaonis (pharaoh ant), 19267 nucleotides. RefSeq lists it as uncharacterized. Lineage: Eukaryota; Metazoa; Arthropoda; Insecta; Hymenoptera; Formicidae. The transcript has 2 exons. The record is from RefSeq and is a predicted model, not a curated record.
UUUAUUCAAAUUUUCGUGUAUCUCGUAAUUCACCUAAUUUGCUACAUAUUAGCCAAAAUUUAAUUUUAUUUAAAUUUAAUUAAAAAUUAAUUUAAAUUCUGUUAAAAUUUUACAAAUUAUAUAAAGGUUAUUGUCUCUUUGUGAAAACAUAUUAUUUAAUAAUUAAAUUUCCACAAAAUUUUGCACCUGUGUAUCUUAUCACCUUAUCUUUUCUUUAACCGGAGAACAGGUCGUGUUUGAGAGCGUUAUGUUAAUAUUUACGUUUGUCUGUGAUAGGGAAACCGUAUACUAUAGAUAUUAUGCGCUCGAUCAGCAUAACCCCCGAUUCAGAAUAAAGUCAAUAAUCAGGACACUAUUCUGCCGACGGGAAAAUAAACUAAUUAACGUUCUCUGACAGCAGCGCUUUUAGCAUUUCGAUAUUUUGACCACAAAUUUCCCACUGUGCUGCUUUCUAUAUAGCUUCUAUAAUACUCGCAUCACAAAGAGAUGAAGACGUACAAAACAGCGCAAGAGAGAUAUACGACAGACCGUAAAACUCUUUAUACUGCUCGAUUAUUCACCUAAAAAAAGAAGAGCACACGUCCGUUCUUUUCUUUUUUAGCAAGAUAUACAGCACUGCAACGACGGGACGUCGAAUUUCUCCUCGAAGGACGGGGGGUGACGAAGAAAUUUAGAUAUUUAAGUUCGUUCACAGCGUAUACCAGCGAGUUUGCUCGCUCGACGCGACUUAAAUUAUCCCAUAUCCCUCGGGUCCCCAGGGCGAAAAAGGAUCGAAUAGGUUAGCCGAUGUGCCGCAAGCGUCCUCGGGGGUGGCACUAAAUUAGAUAAUGAAGCAGUCUCUCUCUCUCUCUCUCUCUCUCUCUCUCUCUCUCUCUCUCUCUCUCUCUCUCUCUCUCUGUCUGUCUCUCUCUCUCUCUCCCUCUCUGUCUCGCUAUCUAGCACGCCUGUUCGACUAUGCGGACUGCCGGCUGAAGUGUAUCGCUCCUGAUAAUCCGCCUUGCUUAACUCAAUAAAAGCAGCAGCAUAGCGAAGUGUCGGGAAGUCGAGCUUUGCAGAUUAAAAGCUGCUUCUUGUUACUCUUGUUAGUUCAGCCACCACAAUCUAGCGUCUAAUCGCUAUACGGGAGUUUAUUAAUAUUUUAUUGAUAUACCCGUAUAAAUUAACGCUGCAUGUGUGUUACAUCAACGUGAAUGAUUUAAUAUGCCGUCAUUAAUCAGCUAGCAGGACAAGCUCCUUACAAGCGCUGAAUUAUCCCGCGCACAAAGAAAUAUCGGAUGAAGUUUACGGCACCGAGUGAAAGGUUUAUUACGAUGUAAAUUAUAUUAUUAAGCGAAUUAACAGAGAAACGCAAACGUCGGAACCGUGCGAGCGAAGCAAGGCGCGCGAGCGCGCGUCAACUUCUAACAACAUUACAGCUACGAAAUUCGUAAUUAGGAGCGGACAAAAGCAGAAAAUUGAACGUGCCUGGCGUGCAUCGUUCGCGCAAAGGCGGAAAUCCUCUUACGAAACUACACAUCGAAAGAUGGCGGUUUCUCGCGCGACGGUGAGCACCGCAAUUCCACGUCGCAUAAGUUUCGCGACCAAGUUUCGAUCUGGUCGCCGCGAAAGCCGCGAGCGAUUGCGAUUCGUGGUGUGUGUUUGGAAUUCUCCGUCGGAAUUAUCCUUGCAAAACUACAUCUUUGCUCUCUCUCUCUCUCACACACACACACACACACACACACACACACACACACCACACACACUUCUCUCUCACCACUUUUCUUACUGCGUCACUUGUCCAACAUUUCUUCGAAAAAUCGAGACUCACGGAAAUAUCGUUCCAUUGAUCGUUGUCGUUGUCAAGCUCAUUAAAGAUAAGGAGAUCCAAAAUUGAACGGUCAACUAAUCCGCGGCGUACAAUAAAGUAGACUGAUAAUGCUUCAGUGGACGCAUUCGCUUUCAUCUUUCGGUUCAACGACCGCGCUGUCGUGUUUCCGCCGUAAAUGUGUCGCAUUUAUUCCGCGACACUGACCCCUCGAAGCGAAGCUUCGUCACUUUUGACCUAGCGACAUCGAGGUUGUCAUCACACAUCAAACAGAAUGUUCUAUAAUAUUCCAUCAUUAACAUUCUCAUGUACAUUAACGUAUAAAUGCUGAUAGAUCACGUUUGAUUCUUUCAUUCGAUAAGUGUAAAGCUGUUUUAAAUAAAUAAUUCUUUCCCCCUUAAAACUCGAAAGAAGAAUAAGGACUUCAACAUUGCCCUUCAUCUCUAUCCCACGCAAUGACCGCGAUAAAUAUGAGGUAACGUCCGACAACCUGGACCACGAAAUGGCUCGGUCAGGGCUUAGAACGGCACCCACCGGAAGAAGAAGUGUUAUUGUCUUCGUGGGAAUUAGCGGCGACUUAAUGCUGGGAAUUUUCGCCUCGCCGCCGACUUAUUCUACCCUCGUGCAGGUCGAUCUCUCGCGUUUCGAAGCAUGUCACGUAACAACGUCGGAGUAAAUCCGACCGACACACUUCCGCCUUGGCGAGAAAAUUUCGAGGUUCGCGUAAAUUUUUUAUGCGUUACUCAGAAGAGACGGCCGAUUUUAGAGAUUGCGGUAGGUCGGGAAAACUUGUAAAAACUAAAAACGCGAAGAUAAUUAUAGGCGUAAAGAUGCAUCGUUUUAUCGUAAAAAAAAAAAACGUCAGUACAACAAAUAAAUUACGAAAAAACUAUGCAAAAUUAAUUGUAAUAGUCUCAAUGACGCGAGAAAACAUCUGCGUGUAUCAUUAAUAUUCAUUAUGGCAAUGCCGCAAAGUUGACUCGCCGCAAAGUUUUUCUUUCAAAAUGGGGAGACAAUCUUGAGACUUGGAGAUUAACCCUUUAAGAAGCUAAAAGCUUCUUUGUUAACUUAUAAUACAGAAAUGGAUAAAGGUUAUCCGUCUUCAACGGCACAAAUGCACGCCUAAUUAACGUCAGCUGUACAGGUACUCAUCGAUAAUAUCUCGACGAAUUCAGAGGGGAUAUCUCGACAUCCCGAAAUUAGCUUGUCAUUCGACUAUUCAUCGCUCCGGGACGCGUGUCCCGGACCGGAUGUGCCGGAACACUGUGUUAGUCUCUCCUCUCUGGGGAAAAAAAUAUAUCGACUCAACAAUGCUGUAAAGAUGGAUGCGAGGUGAUGAUCGAAGUGUCUCGGAAUACCGCUCGAUCAGCCGAUUUGUAACGCGAGAUCGGUCGGUCGGCGAAUUUCUGUUCGCAAAGACGGUGAAGGAAAGAAGGGAAUUACGAAGCCCCCGAGUCGAAGAACACCUGCUUCUCUGGAUUAUUCCUCGCAGAAGGCGCGCAUAGAAACUGUAGUAAUUUAAAAAUGAGAGGGUUCGCAGACCGGUCGGUCUCCCUACUUUGAGCGCAAAAAUAUAUUCAAAUUAAAUUUUAAUCUUUAAUGCGCUGUAAGUUCUCCCAUUUUGAUAUUUAAAUAUUUAAUUGUACCCCACGUCGCUCUUCUAUGCAAGUAUUUCAUUUCCAUUUUAAAUGUUUAAUAUCCCCGUCGGUAUGCGCUAUUGUCUCUGAAGAACAAAGAUUAAAUACCGAAAGCCGUGCGACACCGGGAGUUCGCAAUUUCUUUGUAAUAUCUCCAUUAGCAUAAUUUCUUUAUCAUAAUAUCUUCCCUAUCCAUCUAUCUAUUCAUCCAUCCACUUUACCAGAGUUAAACUCGACACGCACGUAAAACAUUCACACCCUCUACUCCACCAUGAAUGCUGGUGCAUGUACACGCGAUGAUGUUGGCGCCGGUGAUGGUGUUGGUGCUGGUACCGGUGCCGGUGCCGGUGCCGGUGCCGGGAAUCCCCCGUCCACCCCCUUCUUCUCCCCCUCUCGGGACGCGUGCACUUGAUAUCUAUGCAUGAGUCGGCGCACACGCGUGACACGCUCGAGCGUGUCGCGACGACACGCUAGCGCAGCGUGCAGGAUCACGCACGGAGAGCAAUUCAUAUGUGUGUAUGUGUGUAUGUCUGCGAGGGGUAGUUAGCCAGUGCUCGGUGGUUGCAACGGGUCGGGGGUGCCGGUUCGAGCAAUAGUGGUAGUGAUGGUAGUGUGUGGCGUAGCCCCGGGAUCGAUCCAGGGACCACGGCAUCAUCCUCCAGCCCUCAACGACCGACUCAACCCGGCCCUUCCACCCCCGAGGCUUUGGGAGGGCAGCCACCCCUCGCGCAACCUCCUCUCUCUCUCUCUCUCCCCCCCCCCCCCCGCUCUUCGAACCGCGCCCGUGCGCGCGAUCGCCUUAUGGAGCUCCUCUCUAUCAGCCUGCACAAAUAAAGCCUGCAUACGGAGCGUGAGCGUAUGUAAAGGGUUCAAACGGGCCUGUGGCACACUGUGGAAAUGGAAAAGAAUGACUUCAAAGGGCGCUCAAGAGGAUGCCGUGUCCCGAAGAAGGUGAGAUAGGGAUCGACGAGAAUCCUGAGCGAUAGUUUCACUGGUUUAAAGCGAACACUAGUCAAGUAAAGUGGCUCUUUGUUUAUCUGGACUCGACCAACAUGAAUAAAUUAACAUGCAAAAAGUAAAUUAGUAAUGCGUGUAAUUAGUGAAAUAUAUUUUUUGUUUAAGAAAUCAAUUUAAAUUAAAAAAUUCUUCUAAGAUUGGGUUUUAAGUUGGAAUAGUUGUAUUAAUAAACUCUAUUUUCAUUUUGUUACAAUAUUAAAAGCAACUGGUUAAAAUUACUAAGUAAUCAACCGAAUUUUUAUUACAUUUUUACUUUGUAAAAUAAACAUAAAAAAGAUAAAUUAAUUAAUUAAAUAAUAAUUUAAAGAUGAUAAUAAAAUUGCGGACAAUCUUAUGGGGGAUUAAUGUCUUGAGUAGCAAAAAUGUCGGAAUACACACACGAGCGACGGUCGAUGGUCGGUUAGCCGCGCUGCUAUUUCCUUUGGUUGCCGCUUGCAGGAAAGCUCUCCGCGAGGUAACGGGCUCUCCGAGCUUUUGGGCGUGAGAGCGAAUGGCGAACGGCAGGCCUCUCGAUCCGACAGGGAAAGCUCUCUCGUCAAAAUCCUCGCCGACGCGAGCGGAUUCAAGCACACGCGCGCGCGCCUACCUCAACCAAUAAAAGAACCGUUGCAAACGGAUUCGACGGUUUCUCGAUAUGUAAUUUCCCUCGCGGCGCAAAAAAAAAUGAAAGAAAGGAAGAAAACAAGAAAAAACCAAGGGAACAUUUCCGCCGUUUAUUCCGGCGAGUGACCUCACAAAUGAGGCGAUCUCACGGCUUAAGCGACGCGAGCUGAGUUUAUCGCGUUUCAACGUAUCGAGUACUUUAAAGCUGCGAAUGGUAAAAAAAACUCAAGAAAUAAAUCGAAGCUAAAAGCCGAGCGAUAGAGAACACGAAUGUGGAUAUUUAUAUGCAUUUGCAAAGAAUUCCUGAAUAGUUAUGGCGACACGGAACAAUUCCCGUAAUACUUUUGAAAUAUAAAUAAGAUUAGCUAUAAUGUUAAAAGUAAGAAAUCAUUUAUCGUAUUAAGUGGUAAAACAACAACAGUAGCUGUUAGCGUAGGACAGUAAUGCGUAGGAGGGUAAUGCAAUUUCAACCAAGCACUAAGCCGGUGCAGCCAGACCAACAGUAUAUUGUAGACAAGAAAUGUUUGUGCGAGACUCUAAUGGUUAUCCGCGUUAUCGUUUCUCGGGUUAAGAACUAAUGUGAUUGCCGUCGAACAGCCGGCGUAAUAGUCGAAAAGUAAUAGUACACGAUUCGACAUUGUCGGACGUUUAUCGGUUUUAACCACGAAAGUUCCGAGCCGUUAAAAUAAUUGCAACGCGGUGAAAGAACGUUGCGAGGACUCCCGGGGGACCCGCGGUAGAGGGGAUGCACGAAUUCGCGACCGAUUAGAGCCGGGAACGUGCAAUAUCCUCCCGAGGAAUCUAAAUCAAGCCGUUGCGUGGCGGCAAUCUCGUCGGUCGGGUAAUGCGCGAUUUGCGUGGAAACGAAACGCGAUAUGCCGCGUUUAAGCGGCCGAGCUCCGACGUCCGAGUAGUAGUUUCUCGCGAGAAUAUCGAGGAGCCACGCAACAGUUUCCUUGAGUAAAGGACUUGGAUCUAUCCUUCUGUCCCUUUCUUUCUUCCUUCCAUUCGCAUUCCUCAUUUUCUUGGAAUGCCUCUUUAUGGCAAUUCACCAUCGCGAGGUGAAUCUAAAGGCGGCCGCAAAAGACGAAUAUCGCGAUUGCAUGCCUCAGUUGUCAUUAUGUUGUGAUUUUUAGGAUAUCAAUCUUGAGAAAUACAAAUGUGAGAUAUUUAUUUAUUUAUUUAUUUAUUCAGAUUUUUAUCGAAAAAGUAUGAAGAACUCGACUGUAAUAUGUUUUUACUAUGUUCCAAGUGGUUAUACCACUGAAAGAGAAAAUUCAAUUAAAUUCAGAACGCGAUGAAUCUCAAUUGAUAUUGGUGCAUCCAAGCGUGGAUUAUAGGACGCUAGACACCCUGUAGCUCAAACUUGGCGUAGAACACAGAUCCGCGCACUCACACAUUCCUAGUAUAACCACGAACUUUCCCGUCGCCCUUCGUGGGAACUUCCGCGUGCGCAGCGUUCCCUUCUUCCCACUCCCGCGAAAGAUUAAAUAAUGGAUUUCCGCGUGGCGGCCAAUCAAAUAAUCAAAGGUCUUGGAUCACCGAACGAUUAUUCCGACGGCGGCUAAUAGCGAUAUUCAUGCUUCAGCUGGGACGACAAACAAAGAAAAAGGACGUCAAAGUGUUAUAAUUGCAUAGAUAGAGACACGUCGUUCUUUGAUCGUCAACUUUGUCUCGAGCGUCGCCUCUAACGAUAAGUAAAGCUCGGUGAUCGAGCUUGAAGGCAAAUAAUCCUUCUUCAAGGGUAUGCUCUGUAUUGGAAAAACGCAAAUUUACCUCACCCUUUGCUCUGAUUUGCUCUUGCCGCAAAUUUGCUCUUUUGCUUAGCAAUCCGAUUAAAACUCAUAAAUACAUUUAAGUUUAAAUAAGAACAGAGCAUUUGCAACUGUAACUGAUGCUAAAUGAGAUACAAAUUAAUUAGUAAGUCUCGCAAAACAUCUAUAGUCGUAAGGAGAAACGCUUUAAAAAUUCACGCGCUUCCAGAUGGAUGCUUUUAUUACCAAAGAGAUGAGAUAAGAUAUUGGUUUCUAUCAGAAUUUGUCAGGCGAUAUCCAUUACAUCUCGAAAUUUAGGUUGCCUCGUGAAUUGCAGCGAAACUUACGAGUCGAGAGUGCGGUUCUAGUAGUUAAUACCGAGAGAGAGAGAGAGAGAGAGAGAGAGAGAGAGAGAGAGAGAGAGAGAGAGAGAGAGAGAUGCGGCAUGGCAAGCCAGUGGCAACUCUCAUUACGCCUUACAAACAGUAUCCUGAACUUAUGGCUGAUUAGGACAAAUGGAAACGGGGCAUCCCGGUGGGCUGCGCGCGCGAACGUUAUAUGACGUGCUCGCGAUGUUAAGUCGGCCUCGUUACAGCCAGCGGCAAGAUAACGAACGGCCACGUGGCAGCUCUCGUCAGGAGGAAUGGUUGCUAGGUGACGUACAUCGCUAGCUGUACAUCCCGUACGAUGUCUCCGCAUACGUCUUUCGGGAUUACCGCCUCAUUACCGCGUGAUUAGACCUCCCGACUCUAUAAUAGGGUCUUGAAAAUUUCUUUUGCGCUCUGAUGCUCGAAGGACGCUGUAAAAUGAGCAGGGCGCCUUAACUCGACCUGUAGCGCGGCACAGUGAUACCGCACUCGAUUAUCAUCUAAUUAGGGUACCCUUUCCCCUCCCCCUAUCCCCCUUCCAUUCUAUCUCAUCCCCGGGAAGAUAAGAAAGACUUUAUGGGGACGACGUGGUGGUAGUGUCACCGGGGCAGGAUGCAGCUCGUAAAAGCGCUCGUUAAGGUCUACACCGUGAUUACGCGCAACCCGACAUUUUCAGGACUGAUCUUCAUCGAGGUGGGAUUUCCUGUAAUCGGAUAAACGAUUAAUUCCCGUUCCGUAAACGAGAGCCUUGGGCGCCGUUGAUUUUUAACAGUCGCGACGCAAAAGGAUAGCGUCCUCGUUUCCAUCUCUCUUCUAAGAAUUUCUCAAUUUUAACUAUAACGCUCUGAGGACGCGGCAUAAAUUGCCGUCAAGAGAACCAUGGUUUCAUUAACAGUCCCUUUUGAUAAAGUUUAUGCAAAGUAAAGAGCAUUCAAGAUUGGAAAAUUUUUCACCAAGGUUGAAAUAGAACACCGUGGAAUAAUCUAAAACUAAAUUUUCCUCUAGCGACACAUAUUUACUAUACGCAUAUUUUUCAAUUUCAUAUUAGAAUGUAUAUUUUUUUCAUAUCAAUAUUUCAUCUGUAUAUAUUAUUUUUAAUUUUAAAAUUUAUAAUUUAUUUCUAUAUUUCCUAUUUGAUUCUUUUUUAAUCGCUAUAUAUCCCUAUCUAUAUAUGAAGUUGCGGCGAAUAGUUAUUCAUUAUGUUACUCGGGAGCUAUUUUGUGAUAAUAGGGCUCCAUUCGAGUCUUUUACGGGGAUCAAAAUGAAGCAUAAAAGGACAGCUUAGAGCACCCAACAUCCAGAUGUAUCCGAUAGGACGAUAAAAACGAACGGUCUAAUCCUGUGCACCGGCGGGAUCUUUUAUCUCCUCGCGAGGACGUCUCCAUCCAUUUCCAUGGAAGAAGCGCCUUAUGGAAACCCUCUGUCAAGGGAUAAUAAGGCCCGCAUGCCAAGCACGAAGAGUAUGGCAUGUCGUUAAACGACCUCCUCGACUUUCCCCCGAAGAAUUUUCUCUAUCCCCCUUCCCUCCCGUCCCGCUCUCUCGCUCCCAGCCCCGGCUACCGUCGCGAAUCCGCCAGGGGGGACAGGGGGAAGAGUGAAGAAAGGUGGUGGGUGCGGGAACACCUGUAUCCCGACGAAGGAUAACGAUUAUCACGGCAGAAUGCCCCGGAAUACGGCGCAGCGCAAUUUUUAUGAAAUGUCCCGACGCGAAAUUCCGCAAAAAGUCGCCGCCUCAUGAAAUUAUAUAGUGACGUUAAGUUAUGCGGAUCCUCCUUAUCCCUCUCCUUCUCGGUUACUUCCUCGGUACGAUAUAGGCAACGCGAUACGAAGGUAUCGGCACCGAUGAAACUGAUACGCAUAUGGAGGGAAGUUGUGAGAGAAUCCAUUAUGCAUGUAUCCAUGAUCAGAAUCUUCGGAAUUUUGAUCUUAACAAAACCAAGAAAAAAAAUGUAGAGAAUAUUAAAUGUCUAAGAAUUCAAAACUACGUGAAUAUAAAAAAAUCAUAAAGAUUUUAAACGCGACAUCGUCGGAGACAGCGCAAAAGCAAGAUCUUGAAAAGCUAAGGAGACGUUAGAUUUCAAGAACAUUAUUACUCGUUUCCGGGUCUACAUUUCAUCAAUGUUGUACGCUCAUUCGGGGCACUCCAUAUACGGCGUAUCAUAUUCCCUCACGUCCAAAGGGAACUUGGAUCCCGGUUAAGCAUUCCGUCGCGAGGUACACGUCGGCUUUUAUGUAGCUACACGCUACUACCCGGGCAACCCUUCGGUCUUACGAGCCCUUUCUCGUCGUCCAUUACGGGAAAAUGGGGCGCGCGUGCUAAGUGUCGCGCAACAUUUCCCCGCUUUCCCGCUCUAAUGACUUCUAGCGAGACUCCGAUUCGCCCGAAGCUCGUUUAAUAAAUGCUUUUUGUAAGUCUAUUAUUAAAGGUGGACGAGAUGAUCGGUGUAUUAUUAAAUCGACAUUUGCAUAUGUUCGCGAGCGGAGCGUAGGAAGGAAAACGCGGAUGUUGAAUAUUGAAAAUUCACGAAGCGAUGACUCUCCGGCAAAUUUCCUAGAAGAAACUACCAAAUCCACAAACUUGUUGGAAAAGUAUAUACGAUAUCUCAUUAAAACUUGUACGCUUACAGACUGCUGUCUUUCUACUCUCUCGCUGCUUUAUAUAUAUAUAUAUCUUAAUAUACAUAUAUAUACACUUAAUAUUUUCUAGGUUUCUCCUACUUCUAAUCGAGAAUUUCCCGAGCCGGAAGAAACGCGCUGAAUUCGUCUCGCAGGCUUGCGCGAGGCACAUUUGUCUCCAGAAUGUGCCGCGACUCCUGAGGGAUCCUUCCUCAUCAUCUACCGCCGACAAGUGGGUCGCACGUGCUGAAUGUUACAACAAGCAACAUCUCGCGGUUUUGCGCCUCGCUUGGCAAUUUUGACGGACGGUUAACAUUUUGCCGAAUAGACCACGUUUCGUUCCAGCUCUCUCGUAUUUCCGAGGAAAUGGUUUCCGACUACAAAAGUCAAUAUCCGCAUUAAGCAGGACGAAGAGAAGUUCGGUACGAAACCUGGGAUGAAUUCUGAAUAGCUGACUUGUCAUGUCGAAGCCACGCGAGGCGAUAAACGUCAUGUCAGUCAAGCGGCUGACCCCACUGGGGUCAUCGUGGCGUCAAAAUCGAUCGAUGAUGGCGUUAUCGAGAAUGAUGACGUUGACGUCAGUCUUGUCUGUCGGCGGAUACGAGGCUAUCGGUAUCGACUAGGGGCGAUGACGAUGACAGGAAAUAAACCAAACUUCAAACUCCGUGUGUAAAAAGAAAAGUUGCCAAACGGUGGUAUAACGAUUCGUCAUAUAAUUUCAAUCUUAAUUUUAAGUUCGCUCAAAAUCAGAUAUUUAAGUUCAACAACAAAGUUAAGGAAAGAAUGCCGGCAUGAAAAUUUUCAUUAAAGAAAAAUCUACUCGGAAAUAUUCAAAGGAUCCGUAGAUGAAGAAUGGAGCGGCGCGUAUUCGCUCGAAAUUGUUAAUCUCAUGGUUUGCGAAAUACCAACUUUACAGAGUAAUCAUUCUUAUAUUAGUUCUCCUCGUACUUGAAAUUUUUAUUUACAUUAUAAUAACAAACGAUGUAGGAAUGAAUGAAUUCCUACAUCGUUUAUUACAUCCUGGAAUAGAUAGCAAUCGCCGUUGACAUAACGGCGAGUACUUUCGCGCGUUAAAAGCUCCCAUGAAACCUCGGCCGCGUAUCACUUUGCAAUUACCUUCGUCGAAAUAAUAACGCACAGCAACGCGUGCCACGCUAAAACAUCCAUUUCCUCCCGAUUUCAGGAUAUAAUCCCUCGCCAUCACGGCUUUCGCGAUUAAGUAAUGGACUAAUGGAAUGAUGUAAUAAAAUAAUGGCAUGAUCCGCGUUCUGCCGGUUGAUUCCAACGUGUUAACGUUAUAGUGAUAAUGGUGGAAAAUAUAUAUUACACUUUCCUAAACUGUUAAUUCCUGUCAGCAAAUUAUCUUAAGUCUCUGGUGCUUCCUGAGUCCCCCCCCCCUUUCUCUCUCUCUCUCGCACGCAGGAAUAAAUCUCAAAUAUUUUUAAUUUAUCCUAAUUCGCUGCUAAUCUUCUACAAAUCUAUUUGUUUAUUUUUUUAUUUUUCUCUAAAAAAUUUCAGAAGAAUUUUUUGCCAUUUUUUGAGUCUACUUCAAUCACUAGUGAAAUUAAUACUAGUCGAUUUAUGUACCUAUUUGUCUCUAUUGUGACGUAGUUUCGAUAUACACGUCAAAGUAUCGACAACAUCUGUAUUAUGUGUCCGAAAUCGGAAGUCGUGCUUAUGACGCGUGCUGAACGUUCGUGCGGUUUCCGCGGCCGUCGCGGCAUUUACGCUCCGUUUAAACCGCGCCCGCGAUAACCACCUCCCGUUGUAAUUUGUGGAAUCAUCCCUUACUUCGCACGCUCGCGACGGCUAAAUGCAGCGAAACGGAAAUUACCGAGAACACACCACCGCUCCAGGUAUUAAUGCUUUAAGACGAAACUCAGAACAACGGAUGCAACGAAAUUUGUCUUCUAUGAUUCCAGAUACACAUGUAAACGCAUCCCGUGUCUUUAUUUCAAAUUUUGCAAAUGGGUUACACAAUCGAGAUGCAAUACAGAUACGAUAACAAUAAAAAAACACUAAAAUAGUUUCAUGAAAAAAAAUUUGGAACGCCUGCAGCUAUCCAUAUUUAAAACGAUAAACGACAUAUCUGUUUCCAAAUGUUUGAUGUCGGUUUUAACGCGCUCUGAACUUGAGCGCCACACAUAAACUGCAAAUACUGCAAGUACAAAAACUUUUCAUACCCAUCGCAGGCGAGUAAAGUUACGUAACUGUCGGAGCGAUUACGCGUGACCCGGAAUUAAAAAGAAGCGUGAUCGUAAAAAGAGAAAACUUUUCUCCGAAUGCAUCAGCAUUUCCCGAACGACUCAUACCUGUCUCGGUUCACGUUCCACGGAGGAAGCCAUAUCGAUCAGUAAACCGUUCUGGGAAUCCCGAAAGCUGUUUGUCUUAUAUCUCCGUAAUACGACUCGUCCGUAACCAAACAAAAGUAGUCUCGUGGUUUCGUUCGUUCGAUGGCGAGGCGCGCCGGCGACGUCGUCUUGUUUUCCACAAAGCGACCAUACAGAAUAUUACGCCCCAAAUUUACCUAGAUGUAGGACUAAAGGAAAAAAUCUAUUUUCUUAUUUAAACACUGCACAAAUCUAAUGUUAAACCUGCAUAUUUCAGAAGACACAUCUCUCUGCAUAUAAUAAACACCGGUUAAAAAAAAUUAAGCAAAAAUUUAUGCAAAAAGGGUAAUUCUAGCCUGUAAAAUGUCUAUCUUCCAAGUUGUUAUAUUGACGAUUAAUCCUCGACUACUUGCCUUUAAUAUCUCUUGUAAUCGUUCCCUCGCCUCCCUCUUAUUACUUGCUCAAUGUUAUUAGAGACACGGGAUAUACUCGAAGCAAUCCGUAUACAGCUCGUCUGUGGUUUUGCUCAAUCGUGGGGCUUCCGGGCGUGACUUCAUAUUGCGUUACACCGAGGUGAAAUCUUCCCUCUAGCCGCGGAUAUUUGCCGUCCAAUAACAUCUCCGGUAUUCCCGGCGCCGUCUGUUUUUCCGAAAUAACGAACGGGCGUUCCCCCUCUCCCCCUACCCUACACCUCGCAUCGCGGAUCUCCUUUUUCAUCGCUAAUUACACCGGCACCGCCAUUCGGCUCUCCUCUAUAGGACUCGUGUUUUCGUUUGUAAUUUUUCGCAAUUAAGGAACAUGCGAGUUUCAACGAAAUUAAUACCGCGUAUCGUUUUUUUAUACCAUUUUUGUAAUUACGAUGUACGUACAUGAAAUAUUAGAUUAAUGGCAAACAUUAAAAAAUUGAUGAAAAAUUCUGGAUAAUGUAUUUGUAAUCAUAUAAAUUUGAGUUAAGUUUUAGCUCUAUAGUAUUAAAAUUUAUGCGUUUAACUCUCUCCCAUGUUUUUUUAAAAAUAAUAAACAUAUUUUUACAAUGAAAAUUUAUAACGAGCAAAUGCAAAAAGAAAGAAUCAAUUUUUUGAACUUUUACAGUGACCUAAUUCCCAAAUGGAAUCGAAAAGCAUCUCUUGGUAUAAUAUUCAAUUUAUGGAUGCAAACAGAUACGUGAUCCGACUCAUCCACCGUACAUCGAUAGUACAUGGAAGCUCUCGAAAUAGCGUACGUUCAGCCGAGAUCGUCGGAUUGACGAAAGCGGAGAUCCGAAAUUAUGUACCGGGUGCGAUCGACUCACUGAGUGCGAGUGGCUUGUCGAUACGCGUUCAGCACCUAUUCGGAGUUUGGCUUCCUCGCGCGGCGAGACGUGCGAUCCGCUGGUUAAAUUAAUCAUCGCGUUCGCGGAUGAUCGAUGCGAAUGGAACGGGCGAAGAGACGAGCUACUUCGGACCGCACCGAAGCGGCGUCCGUAUCAAUUCUCACCGAUUACUCGAACGUGCGAAACUCGGCUCGCCUGGGGGUAGAAUUUCCGAGGAAAUUCAAGGGGUUAUUAUCAAAGCGAUGUAGACGUGAUCUGAUGGCUGAUUGACGAUACUGCCAAAUAAGUCGACAUACUCCUACUCCUUUUUUUCCUAAACGUGUGUAAUUCGUAGAAAACAGCGUUUUAAAUUUUCGAAGGCAAAAACCUGGUCUCUUUUAAUUCUCGCAAUUCUCGCAGCGCCGUGUAAACGCCGCGAUAUUUAAAUGCGCGUGAGACGCGCGUAUUUUAAUUAUAUUCGUACAAGCAAAGACUUUUACUCACGUAUUUUAGUCUCGGCCCUUGAGAAAUACUACACUUCCUCUUGCCUUCGCAUAUGGAAAUCUCGCGAAAAGCUGUGGCGACCAAAAUUUCGUUGCGAGAGCAAAAUCUUGGCGCCCGCAAUUCCGGUGCUCGUGCUCUUGCGAUUUUAACCACGAAAUAAAGAUCUCGUCCCAAGGAACGUGGCUCUCCCACGCUUUGCCGUAAUGUCCCUGAUUUAUGUGUCGGUCCCCGGCGCCGCGUAAAGAAGUUAAUUACAAACGGCUCGAGCGUUUUAAAACGCAGUUACCUGCCAUUUCGCUAUCUCAGCGCACCAGUUCCCAGCUCUUAAAGCAGAAUCCACGCGGACGAGAAAAUCCUCUUUUAGCUUUACUCCAAAAAUUGAUUAUUACGUAAAUAUGUAUCAAGUCUCUCUCCGAAACAAUGCAUGUGCACCACAUGCAUGCAGUAAUAUGCGCACAACGAUGACAAUAACGCGAAAAUGGACGAGAAUUCAAUUCGUGCGCGUGAUGACAAUACUAGAUUCGAAUUUCGCCGAAACUCGCCGUUUAUGACGGUACACGCAGCCGAAUAUCUCGCGGCGUUCCGAUUCUAGAGUUUGUUUGUUUGUGAAACGACGCCGGAGGAAUAAAGUCGCCGACCGCCCCCGUCGUUUUGUCGAUAGGCGAGGGCGGUUGCCGGGUGUUCAAUCAUGAAAUCGUAAAUGUCGAGCAAUCCGAGCAUGACCGAUCGAUCGCCGCUUUCCACCGCUCGCAAUUAUUAUCGCGGGCCGACGAAUGACCCGAAUAAAUUAUCCCGUUUCGCAUUUCCAUCCCCCGUCGUGAUAAAUUCCGUGGCUAAUCAUCCCUGACAUCGUGCAUUACUCUUUUCGCGCUCCGAUCUCUCUCUAUACUAGGUAUUUUGAUAAUCGGAAAAGUCCAUCCGUUUUACUGUUUAAUAAAUUUCCAAUGAACAGGAAUUAACCAAACCUUUUAAAAGAAAAUUCGGCCAAGAAAAAAGAUGCGGGCAAACAAUGUUUUCGCUUUCUAAAAAAAAACCCUAACCUUUUUCGCAAGAAUCCCGCAACGGUCCCUAUUUCUGGCAGCGCGGAAUAUUUAUUCGGGCCACGGCCGUAAAUCAAAGUGCCUAAUUUUUUAUUUCGUGCAAUCGCGAGUCGCGAGUCGCGAAUCGCGAGCCGAACAGUCGUAAAUACUUCCGGCACGGCAAAUAUGGCGGAUUUAUCACUGUAAUUUCACGUAAACACGACAGUCGGUGCUAUUAAUUAUACCCACUGCAUGUUUGAUCAAACGAUGCGCGCGCGUCGCGCUACGAUUCGCUAAUCGGCAAACAAGCGAAAAGAUUUACUACAUGGAUUAUCGAUAUCCUCUCCCUCUUCCUCUCCCUCGCCCUCCCGCGAUGUAUUCGCGACGCGAUCGACCGUGGGCGUCCGAGAAAACCUCUUAAUUAAAGUAUGAGAGAGCAGUCUAUCUCGAAGUUGGAAGAAAAUAAAUCGAGCCUAAUCCUACUCGGUCCAGCUAUUUUUGUGCCGAUGGAUGAAAUGUAGCGAUAAUCGUUUGGAGAAUAAAAACAAAACUGUAACGCGCGAAUAUAGUUUCCUUGCGAUGCAAUUAUCGUUACGUUCAUGCAGUUCCUUCAAGUUGUGAAACCUGCGAAAUGUAAAGUAGAUCUAGAAAACGGUUCACGUCUUCAGAGGGUGCUCACAAUUUUAAAAGAGCUGUACUCGUAAAGAUUCUUUGACUUCCAACGUUAUUAAUCCUCGAGCGAAAUUCUCGAAUACAAAUUACUCGAGAAAAAUAACCGAGGCAGAAACUUCGAGUAGAACUCUUUUUGCCACUCCUGUCUCGACUCGAAAGUUUACACCGGUCGGAAAAACAGCCAUUAAAGUCAGCGUGAAAGAAAUUAAAGAUACUUUUGCAUUGGGGAGCCAUCGCGCGUUCCCACGCGAGCUUUUGCGCGAGCACUAAGAGCCGCUUGGUCGAGUUAACUUAACUCGCGUGGAUGUAAACCGCAUUAUAUCGCGACUAGAGAGAGAGAGAGAGAGAGAGAGAGAGAGAGAGAGAGAGAGAGAGAGAGAGAGAGAGAGAGAGAUCCAAGGAGAUCCCCGCGGCCGGCGAUCCACUUGCAAAAACGCAUUUUGCAAAGGAUGCAUUCUCAACUCAGAUUUCAUAAUCCACACGAGUGUCCAUGUCGCGAUAUGCAUACGUUACCUUUAAACAGCGUAUGAAUAAUAAAAAAAAAAAAAACAUUGUUCGAAAAACGUAUUCGUAGGCAAAGCAUCUCUCUGCGAGAACGAAUCGAAGAUUAAUGACAAAGCAGAUUAAAUCGCGCCAGUUUUUCAGUUUGCAGUUUGCAAUGUUAUUCCGAACGGUCCACUGAGCGAUGCAAGUACCAUGCAGACCUGGGCUUACGGUGGAAAAAGCGAAAUGGAUUCACUUCUACUUCCGACUGCGGCAACCGGUAAAACCCUGAGCAUAUAUCUAUGACAUGCGUUGCAAAUGGUAUAACCACAAAAGUGGGCAGUGGGUUCAUUAUUCAGCUUUCGCGAAAAUAAAGCGAAAUCUACAUAAUUAAAAUUAACUUUCUCUCCGCUUUCUGUUUGUUAACCACGUCGCGCAAAACCGGGCCGGAUUUUUAACAAAUUUCCCGAGUAUAUUUGAGAAGGGCUGUUUUUUAAAAUAUUAAGCUACACGGUAGUACGCUAGAUUUAUUUUUCUCUGUGUACACUUUAAUUACAUUUUUUUUCCUUCUUUUCAUAUCGUAUCAGAUGGUAGACCGUCGUCAUUUUGCACUAUGUCUUUCGAGUCAACAAAUACACGUAGCAUUUCAUCUACUGGAAUUGCUCGAUCAAUUUGGGAGAGAUAAAUUUUUUUCCAAAUGAGAAUUUUUUUAUUCUCCUGAGGAUAUCUCGACUGUCAAAGGGCCACCGAGGGGUCUUUUCAGAAUUCCACCCUCGCAAAUUUCACCCUCGUUCACUAUCGUCUACACGUUUGGACGUCUGCACGCGACUAUCCGAGCUUGUAUCGUUCAGGUUCACGUUGGUACCUUAUAGAAACGAACGUAAAGAGAAGAAAACGUCGAGCGGUAGGAAUCGCUUUUAUUUUGUCUCUUUUCCUCUCCCCGCGAAACUCACAACGCUCUGUAAAUACAACGAAACAGCGUCAUAUUGUGCCACCGGUAAUGGCCGCUGCUUGUUUAUCGCGAUGCUCGUAUUCAAUGGUCGACGAAAUAUACUGGGUGUCCCACCGUAUUUUCUCCUGACCAUGCACAUUUUUCGAGAAACGCCGAAUCUCGAAAAUUCGACGCAAAUUUCAAAGAAAUUAUUUCGACUCGUGCACGACAAUACCUUCGACUGUUAUAUAAGGAAAAUUUAUAAAACCAUCAAGAGUAGAUUUUUCCUCAUUUUCAAACAACGAUUAUGUUCAAACAACAUCUAUUUUGAUAUUAAAGCAGAAUGUUAAGUGUACAUGUGCGUUUUUCGCUGUAAAAGCGCAUUCCUUUCCCAAUUUAUUCGCAUUGUUGCGCUCUCGCGCCAGGAAGUAUUCCACGUCAUCUUAGCGAAGCAUAUUUCAAUUCCGAGUCGCGAGAGCGCGUUUCCGCAUUUUUACGCCGACAGAUGCAAAAUUCUGUACAAAAUUGCGCGCAUGUGCUCUUCUCGCGGCGGCGAAAACUUUUUGCCGUUUCGCUGCUGCAAUAAGACACGCGUCUAUAAGCGGAAGGCAAGCAUAAAGACGAGUAGUGGAUAUUAAUAUUUGACGGGCCAGGAAGAGUACGAGUGCAGUUUGCUUCGUAUUGAGAAAAUGCGUUACAGAACGUAGAAAAUCCCCGGCAGCUCCUUGAAGUUUAUUGUUUCAUAAGUUUCGCGAGACAAAAUGGGCGGUAUAAAGAGAAGGAGCAAAAGAGAGAGAUAGGAAUUCUACUUAUUAUUCUGAGGUGAAUCCUGUUGAGAAGCAAAUAUAAUAACAUUACGUAAAUAAUACAAAUGUAAAAACUGUACAAUAUAUCAAGAAUUCUCAUUAUUGUUAAAUAAAUUUAUAAUAAGAUUUUAAUUUUAAAUAAAGAGAACGUUGUACCACUUGACCUAAAAGCCUCCAUAAUCUGUAAUCUAUUAAAAAUAACACGAAAAUCUAUAUUAUUUAACAAAAGAUAAAUUGUAAUUUAUAGCGUAAAGCAAAAAUUAAAUUUAUCAGGAGAUAUAAAAACUUUUGAACUCAAAACUCCCAGAAUCUAAGGAUCUAAUAAAUCUCACGUGGUAAUAAAAGAUUUAAGACACUUUGUCAUGACGUAUCCUAACAAAUCUCAUAGUUCAAAAAUUCUAAGCCUCCAAUUUACGAUUACUUGUGCAAUAUUCAAGCGAAUUUAUGCGAGGAUCUCGUGAAGCAGUGAUUUCUUGCGUGUCGAACCUCUCGAAUUCCCGGCGUCUGUCGUCCAUUUCGCUUUGUAUUCCGCUUCCGUGGAACGUUUCUCAAGAAACGGGAAUCAUUCAUACGUUCAACAACUUUGUUCAUCGCGAUAUAUGUAUGUCGACAUGAAAUAAAGAUCCAAGACACGUUGGAUAACGUGCCAAGAUUCUUCCUCAAUAUAUGGGGAAUAUAUCUGGGAUAAAAGUGGCGCGAAGGUUAACGCAGGCACAUUGACAAAACGUUAGAGAUUCGAGUCGAAACAACAAUGUUGACGGAUUGCAUUUACUUGAUUCUACACAGGUUCAAACAGGUUCGCUACUCACGGACGAAUUUCAUUUGUGGAAACUUUCAACUAUCGGCCAUCUUUGUUCGAGCAAUAUUGACGAACUUUGGCCGAAGUUCGAACUUUGACCGACGACUCGACAAGCUUGGUCUCGACUAUUGACAUAUUCCCAAUGUUAUGCUACUUCCGAAGAAACCGCUAACGAGCAUUUAGCAUGACAUUGAUUCAAAGAUCGCGCUCUAGUUGAAAUGCUAUGCCCCUGCAAAUCCUGUAUUGAAACUCUUAAAUCCUUUCUCUUCAUUUAGAUUGCAAAAUACUCUUUCUCUUUCUGUUUAACUACUGCUCUUAAUUGUGUAACUUAGAGUAAAUUUAUUUCCUCAAAACCGACUAAUCAAUAAUGCAUCGGUAUGUGACGAUUGUGAAGUGGACAAAUGGCGAAACGGCGGAAUGUGAUGUACUGGUUGACGUCGAAAAGUGAACGACCGCAGCGUUUGCGGACUUCGCCGUUGUAACGGGGGAUACAGGAUGAAAUACUGUUGAUGGUCGGUAUUUUCACGCGGUCGAAACAAUUCAUCGCCAUUGCCAUCGAUAACAAGAGUCUACUACAUCUCGGAUCUAUCGUAUUAUUUCUUGAUGAAACACUCAAGAUGUGUAGAAUGGAAA